This 73-nucleotide transfer RNA is filed under the name uncultured phage cr18_1. Its description in RNAcentral is "tRNA-Arg". It matches the Rfam family "tRNA". Rfam says of the family: Transfer RNA (tRNA) molecules are approximately 80 nucleotides in length. Their secondary structure includes four short double-helical elements and three loops (D, anti-codon, and T loops). Further hydrogen bonds mediate the characteristic L-shaped molecular structure. tRNAs have two regions of fundamental functional importance: the anti-codon, which is responsible for specific mRNA codon recognition, and the 3' end, to which the tRNAs corresponding amino acid is attached (by aminoacyl-tRNA synthetases). tRNAs cope with the degeneracy of the genetic code in two manners: having more than one tRNA (with a specific anti-codon) for a particular amino acid; and 'wobble' base-pairing, i.e. permitting non-standard base-pairing at the 3rd anti-codon position. Lineage: Duplodnaviria; Heunggongvirae; Uroviricota; Caudoviricetes; Crassvirales; Steigviridae. The record is from RNAcentral.
GCUUCCAUAGUUCAAGGGAUAGAACCACUGAGUCCUAAUCAGAAGAUAUGUGUUCGAGUCACAUUGGAAGUAC